Small nucleolar RNA from Otolemur garnettii (small-eared galago), 70 nucleotides. The record is from Ensembl. NCBI's taxonomy places the organism in Eukaryota, Metazoa, Chordata, Mammalia, Primates, Galagidae.
UUACAAUGAUGGCAAUAUCUUCCAUCAACAGCAGUUUACUAUUAAAUUUUGAUACUUUGGGUCUGAGUGA